UUAAAUUGAAGCGUUUGAUCAUGGCUCAGACUGAACGCUGGCGGCAGGCCUAACACAUGAAAGACGAACGGUAACAUAAAGCAGCUUGCUGCUUUGAUGACGAGUGGCGGACGGGUGAGUAAUGUCUGGGAAACUGCCUGAUGGAGGGGGAUAACUACUGGAAACGGUAGCUAAUACCGCAUAACGUCGCAAGACCAAAGAGGGGGACCUUCGGGCCUCUUGCCAUCGGAUGUGCCCAGAUGGGAUUAGCUAGUAGGUGGGGUAAAGGCUCACCUAGGCGACGAUCCCUAGCUGGUCUGAGAGGAUGACCAGCCACACUGGAACUGAGACACGGUCCAGACUCCUACGGGAGGCAGCAGUGGGGAAUAUUGCACAAUGGGCGCAAGCCUGAUGCAGCCAUGCCGCGUGUAUGAAGAAGGCCUUCGGGUUGUAAAGUACUUUCAGCGGGGAGGAAGGGAGUAAAGUUAAUACCUUUGCUCAUUGACGUUACCCGCAGAAGAAGCACCGGCUAACUCCGUGCCAGCAGCCGCGGUAAUACGGAGGGUGCAAGCGUUAAUCGGAAUUACUGGGCGUAAAGCGCACGCAGGCGGUUUGUUAAGUCAGAUGUGAAAUCCCCGGGCUCAACCUGGGAACUGCAUCUGAUACUGGCAAGCUUGAGUCUCGUAGAGGGGGGUAGAAUUCCAGGUGUAGCGGUGAAAUGCGUAGAGAUCUGGAGGAAUACCGGUGGCGAAGGCGGCCCCCUGGACGAAGACUGACGCUCAGGUGCGAAAGCGUGGGGAGCAAACAGGAUUAGAUACCCUGGUAGUCCACGCCGUAAACGAUGUCGACUUGGAGGUUGUGCCCUUGAGGCGUGGCUUCCGGAGCUAACGCGUUAAGUCGACCGCCUGGGGAGUACGGCCGCAAGGUUAAAACUCAAAUGAAUUGACGGGGGCCCGCACAAGCGGUGGAGCAUGUGGUUUAAUUCGAUGCAACGCGAAGAACCUUACCUGGUCUUGACAUCCACGGAAGUUUUCAGAGAUGAGAAUGUGCCUUCGGGAACCGUGAGACAGGUGCUGCAUGGCUGUCGUCAGCUCGUGUUGUGAAAUGUUGGGUUAAGUCCCGCAACGAGCGCAACCCUUAUCCUUUGUUGCCAGCGGUCCGGCCGGGAACUCAAAGGAGACUGCCAGUGAUAAACUGGAGGAAGGUGGGGAUGACGUCAAGUCAUCAUGGCCCUUACGACCAGGGCUACACACGUGCUACAAUGGCGCAUACAAAGAGAAGCGACCUCGCGAGAGCAAGCGGACCUCAUAAAGUGCGUCGUAGUCCGGAUUGGAGUCUGCAACUCGACUCCAUGAAGUCGGAAUCGCUAGUAAUCGUGGAUCAGAAUGCCACGGUGAAUACGUUCCCGGGCCUUGUACACACCGCCCGUCACACCAUGGGAGUGGGUUGCAAAAGAAGUAGGUAGCUUAACCUUCGGGAGGGCGCUUACCACUUUGUGAUUCAUGACUGGGGUGAAGUCGUAACAAGGUAACCGUAGGGGAACCUGCGGUUGGAUCACCUCCUUACCUUAAAGAAGC
This 1556-nucleotide ribosomal RNA is filed under the name Escherichia coli. RNAcentral describes it as "bacterial SSU rRNA". It matches the Rfam family "Bacterial small subunit ribosomal RNA". The record is from RNAcentral. Lineage: Bacteria; Pseudomonadati; Pseudomonadota; Gammaproteobacteria; Enterobacterales; Enterobacteriaceae.